Molecule: long non-coding RNA, 556 nt
Organism: Esox lucius (northern pike)
Lineage: Eukaryota; Metazoa; Chordata; Actinopteri; Esociformes; Esocidae
Source: Ensembl
CUCUGACAGAGGACAGGGAAAAGUAGAUGACAGAGAAAGUGAGAAAGAGCUGAUGAGAAACACGAGCAUGCAAUGCAUCAUACACACACACGCGCGGGCGCGGGCGCGCAACCACAAAGGAAAUACAAUGUGCUAGUAUUAGCUCGAUAUGGGCUACUACUGAAUAGCUGCGAAACUUGGACACAACAUCAAACGAUUCAUCAAGCGCUUUGGCCGAUAUUGAUACCGUCGAUGCUUCUCCAUUCUGGACUAGAUUUAAACACAGGGGCAGCUUAAAACUUCCAUCCCAUGGCUGCUCACUUCCCAAACUGGACAUAGAAACUCUGCGCUCGUGCACAACAAUGCAGUAGGAACUCCAAUCAUCCGCUCUAAUGUGUUCAUGGACCUGAGAAAAGUGAACAGUCAAGCAAUAUUCCACUCAACCCGCCGCGAACCAGCUCAAGUUAUUUCCCAGAAAGUGCGCCAUGUUGUCAAUCCGUUUUUUCCGGAGUAGGCUAACGGAAUUUGUGGCCGGUGGAGGCGGGUCUCGUAGGCUGGGGCUCCACGGAUGCAGCUC